AAGUCGAGCGAAUCGAUGGGAGCUUGCUCCCUGAGAUUAGCGGCGGACGGGUGAGUAACACGUGGGCAACCUGCCUAUAAGACUGGGAUAACUUCGGGAAACCGGAGCUAAUACCGGAUACGUUCUUUUCUCGCAUGAGAGAAGAUGGAAAGACGGUUUCGGCUGUCACUUAUAGAUGGGCCCGCGGCGCAUUAGCUAGUUGGUGAGGUAAUGGCUCACCAAGGCGACGAUGCGUAGCCGACCUGAGAGGGUGAUCGGCCACACUGGGACUGAGACACGGCCCAGACUCCUACGGGAGGCAGCAGUAGGGAAUCUUCCGCAAUGGACGAAAGUCUGACGGAGCAACGCCGCGUGAACGAAGAAGGCCUUCGGGUCGUAAAGUUCUGUUGUUAGGGAAGAACAAGUACCAGAGUAACUGCUGGUACCUUGACGGUACCUAACCAGAAAGCCACGGCUAACUACGUGCCAGCAGCCGCGGUAAUACGUAGGUGGCAAGCGUUGUCCGGAAUUAUUGGGCGUAAAGCGCGCGCAGGUGGUUCUUUAAGUCUGAUGUGAAAGCCCACGGCUCAACCGUGGAGGGUCAUUGGAAACUGGGGAACUUGAGUGCAGAAGAGGAAAGUGGAAUUCCAAGUGUAGCGGUGAAAUGCGUAGAGAUUUGGAGGAACACCAGUGGCGAAGGCGACUUUCUGGUCUGUAACUGACACUGAGGCGCGAAAGCGUGGGGGAGCAAACAGG
This 735-nucleotide ribosomal RNA is filed under the name Bacillus sp. 17882. RNAcentral describes it as "bacterial SSU rRNA". It matches the Rfam family "Bacterial small subunit ribosomal RNA", at positions 59 to 776 of the family's 1533-position model. Lineage: Bacteria; Bacillati; Bacillota; Bacilli; Caryophanales; Bacillaceae. The record is from RNAcentral.